RNAcentral lists this long non-coding RNA (462 nucleotides) under Heterocephalus glaber (naked mole-rat). Its description in RNAcentral is "lncRNA (ENSHGLG00000045612.1)". Lineage: Eukaryota; Metazoa; Chordata; Mammalia; Rodentia; Bathyergidae. The record is from RNAcentral.
CGCUCUGACAGGCCUGCCCCAGGCGACUGGGUGAGCUGUCUCAGCCAGCAGCCCCGCUGCCUUAGCCGUGAUCUGUCCUUGCCGCAGUGGCCCAGUUGGUGGCCAGGGGACCGUUGGAAAAUGCUGGCUCACGGUGAUCGGAUGGCCCUGGGGACAGCAGGGCCAGCACCUACUUAGGCGCCUGGCAAUUCCAAGCUCUUCACUUUGAGAAAGGCCAGAAUCGGGCCUGUCACUUCCUGUGUGGCCUCGAUACAUGCGGAAGCCUCAGUUUCCCCAGCAGCACCUCCCAGGAGCAUAAUGUGGUUUCAGUGGGAUCAAAUGCUUAGAAGUUCUCCGUAAGUUGCUUCACACACAGAAAACUAAGUACUGAGCACCAUGUUUGAUUCACCCAAACAAUUUGUGAAAGUCUACAGCCACCAGAGACUGAGCUACAGGAAACACCAGUGACCGCAGAGCAGUGAC